GGUUGGGGUAGUCCGCACGAGCGCAACCCUUGUCAUUAAUUGCCAUCAUUCAGUUGGGCACUUUAAUGAGACUGCCGGUGACAAACCGGAGGAAGGGGGGGAUGACAUCAAGUCCUCAUGGCCCUUAUGGGUAGGGCUUCACACGUCAUACAAUGGUCGGUACAGAGGGUUGCCAAGCCGCGAGGUGGAGCCAAUCCCAGAAAGCCGAUCGUAGUCCGGAUCGCAGUCUGCAACUCGACUGCGUGAAGUCGGAAUCGCUAGUAAUCGCGGAUAACCAUGUGCCGGUGAAUACAUUCCCGGGUCUUGUACACACCGCCCGU
RNAcentral lists this ribosomal RNA (320 nucleotides) under uncultured bacterium. RNAcentral's name for it is "bacterial SSU rRNA". It matches the Rfam family "Bacterial small subunit ribosomal RNA", at positions 1074 to 1397 of the family's 1533-position model. The record is from RNAcentral.